This 721-nucleotide ribosomal RNA is filed under the name Phlegmacium balteatibulbosum. RNAcentral's name for it is "eukaryotic LSU rRNA". The stretch from base 307 to 460 matches the Rfam family "5.8S ribosomal RNA". The record is from RNAcentral. Lineage: Eukaryota; Fungi; Basidiomycota; Agaricomycetes; Agaricales; Cortinariaceae.
CUUGGUCAUUUAGAGGAAGUAAAAGUCGUAACAAGGUUUCCGUAGGUGAACCUGCGGAAGGAUCAUUAUUGAAAUAAAUCUGAUGAGUUGUUGCUGGUUCUCUAGGGUACAUGUGCACGCUUGUCACCUUUAUAUUUCCACCUGUGCACCUUUUGUAGACCUGGAUAUCUAUCUGGAUGCUAGCCAUUCGGGAUUGAGGAUUGACUUCAUGUCUUUUCCUUACAUUUCCAGGCCUAUGUUUCUUCAUAUACCCCAAUGUAUGUCAUAGAAUGUAAUCAAAUGGCCUCUGUGCCUAUAAACCUAUACAACUUUCAGCAACGGAUCUCUUGGCUCUCGCAUCGAUGAAGAACGCAGCGAAAUGCGAUAAGUAAUGUGAAUUGCAGAAUUCAGUGAAUCAUCGAAUCUUUGAACGCACCUUGCGCUCCUUGGUAUUCCGAGGAGCAUGCCUGUUUGAGUGUCAUUAAUAUAUAUCAACCUCUUCAGCUUUUGCUUGUCGAGUGUUGGAUGUGGGGGUCUUUUUUUUGCUGGUCUUCUCAGGUCAGCUCCCCUGAAAUGCAUUAGCGGAACAAUUUGUGGACCGUUCAUUGGUGUGAUAACUAUCUACGCUAUUGACGUGAAGCAGUUCGGCUUCAAACAGUCCAUUGACUUGGACAAAUUUUCAUUAGUGUGACCUCAAAUCAGGUAGGACUACCCGCUGAACUUAAGCAUAUCAAUAAGCGGA